UUUCAUCUCUUACAAUCAACCCGCACUUCUUGUUGGUGAGCCCAUUUGCAAUUGCAAAUUGUUGAGGUACAUACUAACAUGGUGUAUAUAUGUGUAUAAACAUUUGAACACGCCAUUAAAAAGUUCACGUUCUUCAAACUUUCACCGCAUUUAUAACACCAAUCAACAAAGAAAAUAAAAAUAAAAUUGUGCAAUGCUUCCGUUAGCGCAGUGGCUGAGAUAGCGGCGGAGCUAGGAUUGGAACUUUAUGGAUUCUAGAUGUUAGAACUACUAUUUCAAGUGCUAACAAGCAGGUUUUAAGUUUAAUAAUUGUCCAUAUUUAAUGAAUUUCUUAGUACAAAUAUACUGUUAAAGAAAAAAUAUUGGGUUAGGUUGAACACGUAACGGGCCUUAUAUCUCUGCCCCUGACAUCCAAUCAAAAGCAUUAGAACCCCAAUCUACUCAAAUUAACAAUUAUUCAAUAUUACUUGCACAAAAUGAUGCAUAUGAUAUUGCUUAAGCCUUAGAUUGGCAGUGUAAAGAUUUAUGAGAUUGCAGGUUUACCAUUUCUUUGGGCUACCAAUUAAUGCUCGCCAUAGAAAUUUACUAACAAUUGCAUAAUAAGUUGUGCAAGCUGGCCCGAACACCAUGGUUAUAAGAAAAAUUACAUAAUAUGUAAUCUGAUUGGGUAAAAAAAAAAAGAUUUACCCAAACAGAAUAGAGAAAAACUUAUUAAACUAUAAGAAACAUGGCACACAUGCUUCCUUUAGUGCAAUGAGUUUUGAAACUUACCAAUAGACCUCUUGAAAACAUUUUUUGUGUAAUAGUGCAUUCAAAAUGAGAUCGAACAAAAGGCUUGUUAGUAGCAGCUUCUACAUGGG
This 860-nucleotide long non-coding RNA is filed under the name Capsicum annuum. RNAcentral describes it as "long non-coding RNA (CANN_LNC022602)". Lineage: Eukaryota; Viridiplantae; Streptophyta; Magnoliopsida; Solanales; Solanaceae. The record is from RNAcentral.